RNAcentral lists this ribosomal RNA (939 nucleotides) under Priestia megaterium. RNAcentral's name for it is "bacterial SSU rRNA". It matches the Rfam family "Bacterial small subunit ribosomal RNA", at positions 44 to 965 of the family's 1533-position model. The record is from RNAcentral. Lineage: Bacteria; Bacillati; Bacillota; Bacilli; Caryophanales; Bacillaceae.
GUGCCUAAUUCAUGCAAGUCGAGCGAACUGAUUAGAAGCUUGCUUCUAUGACGUUAGCGGCGGACGGGUGAGUAACACGUGGGCAACCUGCCUGUAAGACUGGGAUAACUUCGGGAAACCGAAGCUAAUACCGGAUAGGAUCUUCUCCUUCAUGGGAGAUGAUUGAAAGAUGGUUUCGGCUAUCACUUACAGAUGGGCCCGCGGUGCAUUAGCUAGUUGGUGAGGUAACGGCUCACCAAGGCAACGAUGCAUAGCCGACCUGAGAGGGUGAUCGGCCACACUGGGACUGAGACACGGCCCAGACUCCUACGGGAGGCAGCAGUAGGGAAUCUUCCGCAAUGGACGAAAGUCUGACGGAGCAACGCCGCGUGAGUGAUGAAGGCUUUCGGGUCGUAAAACUCUGUUGUUAGGGAAGAACAAGUACGAGAGUAACUGCUCGUACCUUGACGGUACCUAACCAGAAAGCCACGGCUAACUACGUGCCAGCAGCCGCGGUAAUACGUAGGUGGCAAGCGUUAUCCGGAAUUAUUGGGCGUAAAGCGCGCGCAGGCGGUUUCUUAAGUCUGAUGUGAAAGCCCACGGCUCAACCGUGGAGGGUCAUUGGAAACUGGGGAACUUGAGUGCAGAAGAGAAAAGCGGAAUUCCACGUGUAGCGGUGAAAUGCGUAGAGAUGUGGAGGAACACCAGUGGCGAAGGCGGCUUUUUGGUCUGUAACUGACGCUGAGGCGCGAAAGCGUGGGGAGCAAACAGGAUUAGAUACCCUGGUAGUCCACCCCGUAAACGAUGAGUGCUAAGUGUUAGAGGGUUUCCGCCCUUUAGUGCUGCAGCUAACGCAUUAAGCACUCCGCCUGGGGAGUACGGUCGCAAGACUGAAACUCAAAGGAAUUGACGGGGGCCCGCCAAGCGGGGAGCAUGUGGUUUAAUUCGAAGCAACCCGAA